AGUUUGAUCCUGGCUCAGAUUGAACGCUGGCGGCAGGCCUAACACAUGCAAGUCGAGCGGUAGAGAGAAGCUUGCUUCUCUUGAGAGCGGCGGACGGGUGAGUAAUGCCUAGGAAUCUGCCUGGUAGUGGGGGAUAACGUUCGGAAACGGACGCUAAUACCGCAUACGUCCUACGGGAGAAAGCAGGGGACCUUCGGGCCUUGCGCUAUCAGAUGAGCCUAGGUCGGAUUAGCUAGUUGGUGAGGUAAUGGCUCACCAAGGCGACGAUCCGUAACUGGUCUGAGAGGAUGAUCAGUCACACUGGAACUGAGACACGGUCCAGACUCCUACGGGAGGCAGCAGUGGGGAAUAUUGGACAAUGGGCGAAAGCCUGAUCCAGCCAUGCCGCGUGUGUGAAGAAGGUCUUCGGAUUGUAAAGCACUUUAAGUUGGGAGGAAGGGUUGUAGAUUAAUACUCUGCAAUUUUGACGUUACCGACAGAAUAAGCACCGGCUAACUCUGUGCCAGCAGCCGCGGUAAUACAGAGGGUGCAAGCGUUAAUCGGAAUUACUGGGCGUAAAGCGCGCGUAGGUGGUUUGUUAAGUUGGAUGUGAAAUCCCCGGGCUCAACCUGGGAACUGCAUUCAAAACUGACUGACUAGAGUAUGGUAGAGGGUGGUGGAAUUUCCUGUGUAGCGGUGAAAUGCGUAGAUAUAGGAAGGAACACCAGUGGCGAAGGCGACCACCUGGACUAAUACUGACACUGAGGUGCGAAAGCGUGGGGAGCAAACAGGAUUAGAUACCCUGGUAGUCCACGCCGUAAACGAUGUCAACUAGCCGUUGGAAGCCUUGAGCUUUUAGUGGCGCAGCUAACGCAUUAAGUUGACCGCCUGGGGAGUACGGCCGCAAGGUUAAAACUCAAAUGAAUUGACGGGGGCCCGCACAAGCGGUGGAGCAUGUGGUUUAAUUCGAAGCAACGCGAAGAACCUUACCAGGCCUUGACAUCCAAUGAACUUUCUAGAGAUAGAUUGGUGCCUUCGGGAACAUUGAGACAGGUGCUGCAUGGCUGUCGUCAGCUCGUG
This 1059-nucleotide ribosomal RNA is filed under the name uncultured Pseudomonas sp. RNAcentral's name for it is "bacterial SSU rRNA". It matches the Rfam family "Bacterial small subunit ribosomal RNA", at positions 10 to 1064 of the family's 1533-position model. Lineage: Bacteria; Pseudomonadati; Pseudomonadota; Gammaproteobacteria; Pseudomonadales; Pseudomonadaceae. The record is from RNAcentral.